Molecule: ribosomal RNA, 207 nt
Filed under: uncultured bacterium
Lineage: Bacteria
Description: partial 16S ribosomal RNA
Rfam family: Bacterial small subunit ribosomal RNA
Source: RNAcentral
CGCGUAGGCGGCCAUCUAAGUCAGACGUGAAAUCCCCCGGCUUAACCUGGGAACUGCGUCUGAUACUGGAAGGCUUGAGUAUGGGAGAGGGAUGUAGAAUUCCAGGUGUAGCGGUGAAAUGCGUAGAUAUCUGGAGGAAUACCGGUGGCGAAGGCGGCAUCCUGGACCAUUACUGACGCUGAGGCACGAAAGCGUGGGGAGCAAACA